CAGCCCUAAACGAUGCGCGUUAGGUGUAUCGGUGACCACGAGUCACCGAGGUGCCGAAGGGAAACCGUGAAACGUGCCGCCUGGGAAGUACGGUCGCAAGGCUGAAACUUAAAGGAACUGGCGGGGGAGCACCACAACGGGUGGAGCCUGCGGUUUAAUUGGACUCAACGCCGGGAAGCUCACCGGAUAGGACAGCAGAAUGAUUGCCGGGCUGAAGACCCUGCAUGACUAGCUGAGAGGAGGUGCAUGGCGUCAGUGACU
Molecule: ribosomal RNA, 261 nt
Filed under: uncultured archaeon
Lineage: Archaea
Description: partial 16S ribosomal RNA
Rfam family: Archaeal small subunit ribosomal RNA
Source: RNAcentral